UACGUAGGCAGCAAGCGUUGUUCGGAGUUACUGGGCGUAAAGGGUGUGUAGGCGGUUCUUUAAGUUUGCUGUGAAAUCUCCCGGCUUAACCGGGAGGGUGCGGUGAAUACUGAGGGACUAGAGUACGGGAGAGGAAAGUGGAAUUCCUGGUGUAGCGGUGAAAUGCGUAGAGAUCGGGAGGAACACCAGUGGCGAAAGCGGCCGGCUGGGCCCAACCUGACGCUGAGGCGCGAAAGCGUGGGGAGCGAACCGG
This 253-nucleotide ribosomal RNA is filed under the name uncultured bacterium. RNAcentral describes it as "partial 16S ribosomal RNA". It matches the Rfam family "Bacterial small subunit ribosomal RNA", at positions 524 to 776 of the family's 1533-position model. The record is from RNAcentral.